AUCUGCUAACCCAGCUCGCGAGAGGGGGAGCCGGCGCGAGGACUUGGGAGACGGCGGCGCAGGAGUGAGGACCUUGGCCAUGACGUCGGCGCGAGGACCUGCAGGCGAAGACGCCGACGCGAGGUCCAGGAGGCGAAGCCCAGGCUGGUCUUGGUCGUAGUGGCCGCUCGCCCACGUACGUCCCCGCGGCCGCCGCCGUGAGGUUCUGGAGGGGACGACGCCGGCGCGAGGUCUUGGAGGUCCCGGCUGCGCUUGGUCGUAAUGAUGGACGAACAGAGGUAUAUCUUCCCCUGCCCUCAUCUCUUCCUCCCGUCCUUCCCUACUCACACCUUGGUCUGGCGGUGGAGGCGUGGAGCAACUGCACAUUGCAGCGCCUUGAACUAAAAUUCAGUUAGCAACUCGGGUUCCGAUUGCUAGUGGAUAUGUCAGCAGUGCGUUCGCUACAUUGCGCAACUUCCGCAAUCACUAAUCGCAUGAUUAGUGGCUGCCCGCGUCCAGCACUUGAGUUGUCCUCGAUGCCUGCAAUGACGCUGCUGCUGCUGACUGUAGCACGCUGCUGCUGCUGCUACGUAUUUGACAUGUAGGCAUCAUCAACACAAAACUCUCAAGGGAAGAGGGAUAUGAUAUGAAUUUUUUUCAGCAGAGAACAUCAUUUGGUUUGUCACACAAACCCACAAGUAGAAAUUGCAGCCUUAAAGUUUCCAGAAUCAACUGUUAACUGUGUAUGCUUAUGGUCAUACUCCUGUAUCAUACACAUACACAAGUUCAAGCCAUAUAUGUAUAAAGUUCUGUUAACUGUCUAGCCUUUAUUCAUUAAAGAAAUCUUGAAUUUUGGAUUACUUGUAACAGCAUGUUCAAACAACUGAAAUCUUGCUGCAGCAUACACAUACAAGUUCAGGUCAUACAUGUAAACUAUGGCUUGGAACAACUUAACUAGUGCUAAUAACAGUUUCAUACUUCAGUUGCAUGUGUUUGUUUUGAAGUUCAGAACAGACACAGAUUCAGAGUCCACAAAUGUCUUACAACUUGUAGCAUUCCCCAGUGGCAGUUGCUGCUUAUAAACUACAGAGAACACUGAUAAUAAAUCCCACUAAGCAUAUCAAAAUUCAGAUAUAUCAUAAACUACAGAGAUUCUGCAAUUUCUGAAGAGUUGUUAAAUAUUACUUGCUAUGAUAACGUUCUCAGACUAUUCAUAAUCCUCGAUUGUUAUUAGAGUUUGUGUAUUCCCUACGACAGCAAAAACGGCAUCAAUUAAGGCAGCCACGAUUCGAACAGUGAGCAUCAGGUUUAUUGUCUAUCUUGGGUGGUCAUUGUAGCAGUAGUGUUUGUACUGGACAACCUUCAGCCACCGUUGUUUACUUCCAACUCGCCGGCCAGCCACCAAGGUCUACCUCCUGUCUCGUUGGAUCGCCGGACAGCCGCUGUCGUCUACCUCGCGCCUCGCCGGACAACACGGUCAUCAAACUCUUUCUCACCGGGCAGCCACCGCCGUCUACGUCUGCCUCAUAGUUAAUUGUGUGCUAGCAAUUCCUCCAGAGAACUUGUUAGGUUAUUCUAACUCUACCAUGUAUCCAUGAUCUUGUUUUCUGAAUAUGUAAUCUUUUUAGUGAUUUUCAUUUUCAUUUUAUUUUUCAUGGCGCUUCCAUGAUUUAUUUCAUUUUCUGGUAUAUAUUUUUGAAGAUUUUUAUUUGCUUUUCCCUAA
Molecule: long non-coding RNA, 1702 nt
Organism: Aegilops tauschii subsp. strangulata
Lineage: Eukaryota; Viridiplantae; Streptophyta; Magnoliopsida; Poales; Poaceae
Source: RefSeq, a predicted model, not a curated record